Molecule: non-coding RNA, 81 nt
Filed under: unclassified sequences
Description: c-di-GMP sequence
Rfam family: Cyclic di-GMP-II riboswitch aptamer
Source: Rfam by way of RNAcentral
AUAGAAGCAGGAAGCGUUUGACCUGCCGCCUUUAUAUGGGCACUUGGGCGGCAGCGAGCGAAUAGUGAGACCGACCUCAAA